This is a non-coding RNA of Cicer arietinum (chickpea), 457 nucleotides long. NCBI's taxonomy places the organism in Eukaryota, Viridiplantae, Streptophyta, Magnoliopsida, Fabales, Fabaceae. The record is from RefSeq and is a predicted model, not a curated record.
AUUUUGAGUAUAUAUCUCGACUAUCAAAUUAGUUCAAUUGUUGACUGUAUUUUGGUUUGCUAUUGACUGUAUUUUGAUUUUGAUUAGAUUUGGUGUUAUUGUGACAUUGGAGUUCAAAGACUUCAAUCCUUUUCAAAGCUUGAAGGUAAACAUGAAGGGAGUUGUGGCAGAAAUUAUUUGAGCUUCCUCUCAAUGUUCAAUGGCUUGCUGAAUGUGUUCUCAAUAUUUUGUCCGAGAAAUCACAAGCUUAUGCAAUGCAGGUGAGUGUACAAGUCAGGGAUAAUGAAGAUCAUAGAGGUAUUAUGAGCAUUGAGAACCUGCUCAAACACUUCAGAGAUGAAGUUGCAGCUUUCCACUUAUUAUAUCUGUUUACUUUGCUAAUGACCUAGUGCUAGCACUGCAGUACAACAUAGAGACAGUUUUCCACUGAUUAUAUCUGUUAGUUUUUUUUUUUUAU